UACGAAGGGGGCUAGCGUUGCUCGGAAUCACUGGGCGUAAAGGGUGCGUAGGCGGGUCUUUAAGUCAGGGGUGAAAUCCUGGAGCUCAACUCCAGAACUGCCUUUGAUACUGAGGAUCUUGAGUUCGGGAGAGGUGAGUGGAACUGCGAGUGUAGAGGUGAAAUUCGUAGAUAUUAGGAAGAACACCGGUGGCGAAGGCGGCCCACUGGCUCGAUACUGACGCUGAGGUGCGAAAGCGUGGGGAGCAAACAGG
This 253-nucleotide ribosomal RNA is filed under the name uncultured bacterium. Its description in RNAcentral is "partial 16S ribosomal RNA". It matches the Rfam family "Bacterial small subunit ribosomal RNA", at positions 524 to 776 of the family's 1533-position model. The record is from RNAcentral.